GGGGAUAUAGUUCAGUUGGUAGAGUGUUUACCUAGCAUGCACAAAGCCCUGGGUUCAAUCCCCAGCACCACCC
Molecule: transfer RNA, 73 nt
Filed under: Ictidomys tridecemlineatus (thirteen-lined ground squirrel)
Lineage: Eukaryota; Metazoa; Chordata; Mammalia; Rodentia; Sciuridae
Description: Spermophilus tridecemlineatus (thirteen-lined ground squirrel) tRNA
Rfam family: tRNA
About the family: Transfer RNA (tRNA) molecules are approximately 80 nucleotides in length. Their secondary structure includes four short double-helical elements and three loops (D, anti-codon, and T loops).
Source: Rfam by way of RNAcentral